RNAcentral lists this transfer RNA (71 nucleotides) under Bos taurus (domestic cattle). It matches the Rfam family "tRNA". Rfam says of the family: Transfer RNA (tRNA) molecules are approximately 80 nucleotides in length. Their secondary structure includes four short double-helical elements and three loops (D, anti-codon, and T loops). The record is from Rfam by way of RNAcentral. Lineage: Eukaryota; Metazoa; Chordata; Mammalia; Artiodactyla; Bovidae. RNAcentral also lists the same sequence under 4 other names.
UCCUAGAUGGCAUAGUGGCAGAGUAUUUGCCUGCAAUGCAGGAGACUCAGGUUCAAUCCCUGGGUUGGGAA